GGGGAAUUUUGGACAAUGGGCGCAAGCCUGAUCCAGCAAUGCCGCGUGCAGGAUGAAGGCCUUCGGGUUGUAAACUGCUUUUGUACGGAACGAAAAGCCUCUCUCUAAUACAGGGGGGUGAUGACGGUACCGUAAGAAUAAGCAUCGGCUAACUCAGUGCCAGCAGCCGCGGUAAUACGGAGGAUGCAAGCGUUAUCCGGAUUUAUUGGGUUUAAAGGGAGCGUAGGCGGACUAUUAAGUCAGCUGUGAAAGUUUACGGCUCAACCGUGAAAUUGCAGUUGAAACUGGUCGUCUUGAGUGCAGUAAAGGUGGGCGGAAUUCGUGGUGUAGCGGUGAAAUGCUUAGAUAUCACGAAGAACUCCAAUUGCGAAGGCAGCUCACUGGAGUGUAACUGACGCUGAUGCUCGAAAGUGUGGGUAUCAAACA
RNAcentral lists this ribosomal RNA (426 nucleotides) under uncultured bacterium. RNAcentral's name for it is "bacterial SSU rRNA". It matches the Rfam family "Bacterial small subunit ribosomal RNA", at positions 356 to 774 of the family's 1533-position model. The record is from RNAcentral.